CAGCCGCCGCGGUAAAACGAGGGGUGCAAGCGUUAUUCGGAUUGAUUGGGUGUAAAGGGUGUGCAGACGGCUUAUUAAGUCACUUGUUAAAUUCUUCGGCCUAACUGAAGGUCUGCAAGUGAUACUGAUGAGCUAGAGGGUGGAAGAGAGAAGUGGAAUUCUCGGAGUAGCGGUAAAAUGCGUAGAUCUCGAGAGGAACACCAAUGGCGAAGGCAGCUUCUUGGUCCAUUCCUGACGUACAUACACGAAAGCGUGGGGAGCAAACAGGAUUAGAUACCCCCGUAGUCCCUGUCUCUUAUAC
This 301-nucleotide ribosomal RNA is filed under the name uncultured bacterium. RNAcentral's name for it is "partial 16S ribosomal RNA". It matches the Rfam family "Bacterial small subunit ribosomal RNA", at positions 509 to 807 of the family's 1533-position model. The record is from RNAcentral.